GCUGGCGACUAUAGCAAGAGUGAACCACCUGAUCCCUUCCCGAACUCAGAAGUGAAACCUCUUAGCGCUGAUGGUAGUGUGGGAUUACCCAUG
RNAcentral lists this ribosomal RNA (93 nucleotides) under Acinetobacter baumannii. Lineage: Bacteria; Pseudomonadati; Pseudomonadota; Gammaproteobacteria; Moraxellales; Moraxellaceae. The record is from RNAcentral.